Molecule: transfer RNA, 73 nt
Filed under: Camelus bactrianus (Bactrian camel)
Lineage: Eukaryota; Metazoa; Chordata; Mammalia; Artiodactyla; Camelidae
Also listed under: 1 other name
Rfam family: tRNA
About the family: Transfer RNA (tRNA) molecules are approximately 80 nucleotides in length.
Source: Rfam by way of RNAcentral
GAGGAUGUAGCUCAAGUGGUAGAGCAUAUGCUUAGCACAAACAAGGUCCUGGGUUCAAUCCCCAGUAUCUCCU